RNAcentral lists this long non-coding RNA (468 nucleotides) under Homo sapiens (human). RNAcentral's name for it is "HSALNT0219614". Lineage: Eukaryota; Metazoa; Chordata; Mammalia; Primates; Hominidae. The record is from RNAcentral.
GAUGUUUAAGAAGGCAUGCACUAGACUGGGUGAGUUUGCUGUCUGUACAUCGGCGCCCUCCGAUCUGGGGUGCGCGCCCCAGCUUGGGACACCGGGCGCUCAUUCUAGGACUUCAGGCUGGAGGCACAUUAAGGCUGCCCCCUCGCUUUGCAGACUGGCCCCAGAGAUGCUAAGUGACUUGCUAAUGGUGCCCCAGCCAGUUAACUGCUCGGACCUGCAUUUUUCAUUCGAGAAAACGGAAACCCAGAAGAUUAAGAUCUUUGAAUGCUACCUAGCAGAAGGAGAACUUCUGUUUAUAACUACAGCUUGGGAAUUCCCUGCAGGGUUUCUCCAUUCUCUGGGAAAAAGUGUUUGGAAAGUUCUGUGCCAAGAAGUUCCUCCCUAUGUCCUUGCUGUUUAGGCUUUUGAUAAUCUUUAUUGUGGAGGCCAUGCCUAAACUAAGAAAAUGCAAUACUCUCCAUGGACCUA